Molecule: ribosomal RNA, 272 nt
Filed under: uncultured bacterium
Lineage: Bacteria
Description: partial 16S ribosomal RNA
Rfam family: Bacterial small subunit ribosomal RNA
Source: RNAcentral
UAUUAUUUUAGCGGCGGACGGGUGAGUAACGUGUGGGCAACCUACCUUUUACUGUGGAAUAAGUCGUUGGAAACGACGACUAAUACCGCAUACGGUUCUUGGAAGGCAUCUUCUAAGAAAGAAAGGAGUAAUUCGGUAAAAGAUGGGCCCGCAUCUGAUUAGCUAGUUGGUGAGAUAAUAGCCCACCAAGGCAACGAUCAGUAGCCGACCUGAGAGGGUGACCGGCCACAUUGGGACUGAGACACGGCCCAAACUCCUACGGGAGGCAGCAG